This 1346-nucleotide ribosomal RNA is filed under the name uncultured bacterium. Its description in RNAcentral is "bacterial SSU rRNA". It matches the Rfam family "Bacterial small subunit ribosomal RNA", at positions 28 to 1381 of the family's 1533-position model. The record is from RNAcentral.
GACGAACGCUGGCGGCGUGCUUAACACAUGCAAGUCGAACGGAAAGGCCCUGCUUUUGUGGGGUGCUCGAGUGGCGAACGGGUGAGUAACACGUGAGUAACCUGCCCUUGACUUUGGGAUAACUUCAGGAAACUGGGGCUAAUACCGGAUAGGAGCUCCUGCUGCAUGGUGGGGGUUGGAAAGUUUCGGCGGUUGGGGAUGGACUCGCGGCUUAUCAGCUUGUUGGUGGGGUAGUGGCUUACCAAGGCUUUGACGGGUAGCCGGCCUGAGAGGGUGACCGGCCACAUUGGGACUGAGAUACGGCCCAGACUCCUACGGGAGGCAGCAGUGGGGAAUAUUGCACAAUGGGCGGAAGCCUGAUGCAGCAACGCCGCGUGCGGGAUGACGGCCUUCGGGUUGUAAACCGCUUUCGCCUGUGACGAAGCGUGAGUGACGGUAAUGGGUAAAGAAGCACCGGCUAACUACGUGCCAGCAGCCGCGGUGAUACGUAGGGUGCGAGCGUUGUCCGGAUUUAUUGGGCGUAAAGGGCUCGUAGGUGGUUGAUCGCGUCGGAAGUGUAAUCUUGGGGCUUAACCCUGAGCGUGCUUUCGAUACGGGUUGACUUGAGGAAGGUAGGGGAGAAUGGAAUUCCUGGUGGAGCGGUGGAAUGCGCAGAUAUCAGGAGGAACACCAGUGGCGAAGGCGGUUCUCUGGGCCUUUCCUGACGCUGAGGAGCGAAAGCGUGGGGAGCGAACAGGCUUAGAUACCCUGGUAGUCCACGCUGUAAACGGUGGGUACUAGGUGUGGGGUCCAUUCCACGGGUUCCGUGCCGUAGCUAACGCUUUAAGUACCCCGCCUGGGGAGUACGGCCGCAAGGCUAAAACUCAAAGGAAUUGACGGGGCCCCGCACAAGCGGCGGAGCAUGCGGAUUAAUUCGAUGCAACGCGUAGAACCUUACCUGGGUUUGACAUGGAUCGGGAGCGCUCAGAGAUGGGUGUGCCUCUUUUGGGGUCGGUUCACAGGUGGUGCAUGGCUGUCGUCAGCUCGUGUCGUGAGAUGUUGGGUUAAGUCCCGCAACGAGCGCAACCCUUGUUCACUGUUGCCAGCACGUUAUGGUGGGGACUCAGUGGAGACCGCCGGGGUCAACUCGGAGGAAGGUGGGGAUGACGUCAAGUCAUCAUGCCCCUUAUGUCCAGGGCUUCACGCAUGCUACAAUGGCUGGUACAGAGAGUGGCGAGCCUGCGAGGGUGAGCGAAUCUCGGAAAGCCGGUCUCAGUUCGGAUUGGGGUCUGCAACUCGACCUCAUGAAGUCGGAGUCGCUAGUAAUCGCAGAUCAGCAACGCUGCGGUGAAUACGUUCCCGGGGCU